RNAcentral lists this ribosomal RNA (259 nucleotides) under uncultured bacterium. RNAcentral describes it as "partial 16S ribosomal RNA". It matches the Rfam family "Bacterial small subunit ribosomal RNA", at positions 524 to 777 of the family's 1533-position model. The record is from RNAcentral.
UACGGGGGGGAGCAAGCGUUGUUCGGAUUUACUGGGCGUAAAGCGUGCGCAGGCGGUUCGUUAAGUCAGCUGUGAAAAGCCCCCGGGCUCAACCUGGGAAUUGCGGUUGAAACUGGCGAACUAGAAUCUGGCAGAGGGGGUGGGAAUUCCACGUGUAGCAGUGAAAUGCGUAGAAGAUGUGGAGGAACACCGAUGGCGAAGGCAGCCCCUGGGCUGAGCAUUGACGCUCAGGCACGAAAGCGUGGGGGAGCAAACAGGG